GCUGGGCAUUGUGGAGCUUGUCUGUAAUCCAAGAGACUCAGGAGGCUGAGGCAGGAGGAUUGCAAGUUUAAAGCCAGCCUCAGCAAUUUAGUGAGACCCUGUCUCAA
RNAcentral lists this small RNA (107 nucleotides) under Marmota monax (woodchuck). The record is from RNAcentral. Lineage: Eukaryota; Metazoa; Chordata; Mammalia; Rodentia; Sciuridae.